UAGUCAUAUGCUUGUCUCAGAGAUUAAGCCAUGCAUGUCUAAGUAUAAGCAAUCUUAUACGGCGAAACUGCGAAUGGCUCAUUAAAUCAGUUAUAGUCUACUUGAUCGUAUCCUCUUACAUGGAUAACCGUAGUAAAUCUAGAGCUAAUACAUGCUAAAAAUCCUGGACGCGGCAACGCGGAAGGGACGAGUUUAUUAGAUUAAAAACCGACACCUCUCCGCGAGGGGAGGUAGCACAGGUGAUUCACAGUAACCGAUCGGAUCGUCGGCCCCGCCGACGACGAUGCAUACGAGUUUCUGCCCUAUCAACUUUAGAUGGUAGAGUAUCGGUCUACCAUGGUCGUAACGGGUGACGGGGGAUUAGGGUUCGAUUCCGGAGAGGGAGCCUGAGAAACGGCUACCACUUCCAAGGAAGGCAGCAGGCGCGCAAAUUACCCAAUCCCGACACGGGGAGGUAGUGACAAGAAAUACCAUUGUAAUGUCUCCUCGAGAGGCUUACGAUUGGAAUGAGUACAAUUUAAAUCCCUUAACGAGUAACGAUU
This 542-nucleotide ribosomal RNA is filed under the name uncultured eukaryote. RNAcentral's name for it is "SSU rRNA". It matches the Rfam family "Eukaryotic small subunit ribosomal RNA", at positions 21 to 549 of the family's 1831-position model. The record is from RNAcentral.